RNAcentral lists this ribosomal RNA (274 nucleotides) under uncultured bacterium. Its description in RNAcentral is "partial 16S ribosomal RNA". It matches the Rfam family "Bacterial small subunit ribosomal RNA", at positions 523 to 796 of the family's 1533-position model. The record is from RNAcentral.
AUACGAAAGGUGCAUGCGUUGUUCGGAUUUACUGGGCGUAAAGAGAGUGUAGGUGGUUUAUUAAGUCGGAUGUGAAAUCCCGGGGCUCAACCUCGGAACUGCAUUCGAUACUGAUAGGCUAGAGUUUGGGAGGGGUAAGCGGAAUUCCGUGUGUAGCAGUGAAAUGCGUAGAUAUACGGAGGAACACCUGAGGCGAAGGCGGCUUACUGGACCGAUACUGACACUGAGACUCGAAAGCGUGGGUAGCAAACAGGAUUAGAAACCCGAGUAGUCC